GAGGGUGUAGCUCAGUGGUAGAGUGUGUGCUUAGCAUGCACAAAGUCCUGGGUUCAAUCCCUAGUACCUCCA
This 72-nucleotide transfer RNA is filed under the name Camelus bactrianus (Bactrian camel). It matches the Rfam family "tRNA". From Rfam's summary of the family: Transfer RNA (tRNA) molecules are approximately 80 nucleotides in length. Their secondary structure includes four short double-helical elements and three loops (D, anti-codon, and T loops). The record is from Rfam by way of RNAcentral. RNAcentral also lists the same sequence under 2 other names. Lineage: Eukaryota; Metazoa; Chordata; Mammalia; Artiodactyla; Camelidae.